This is a long non-coding RNA of Hypanus sabinus (Atlantic stingray), 3191 nucleotides long. RefSeq lists it as uncharacterized. The transcript has 4 exons. Lineage: Eukaryota; Metazoa; Chordata; Chondrichthyes; Myliobatiformes; Dasyatidae. The record is from RefSeq and is a predicted model, not a curated record.
CUCAGAGAGCACGUCAUGCAGUGUCAAUUUCCUAAGACCUUCAAAUCAAACACAUGCAGAAGUUUGCUUCAUUUCCUCUUCGGAAUGUAGAAUCGCACACUUCCAUUACCAUAAAUUAAAGGUGUCGAAAGGGGCAAGUGUUAUUGAACUUGACUGCUGAAUAAACUUAAGAAAGGAAUGACAAAAGAAGGAUGUGAUUGGGACGGCGCAACAGAGCGUAGUGGUUAGCAUCGGCAAUUUGAAGACUGAGAUUCAACCUAAAGGAGUUUGUACGUUCUCCUUAUGAGCACAUGGGUUUCUUCCAGGUGCUCUGGUUUCCUCCCACAGUCCAAACAAGGCUUAGUAAGUUUUGGACAUACUAUGUUGGUACUGGAACCAUGGCAACACUUGCGGACAGCCCCUAGCACAUCCCUGGGCUGUGUUGGUCAUUGUAUGUUUUGAUGUUUCAAUGUACUGUACAUAUAAAAGAUAAAGCUAUUCUUAAUCUUAAAUAUUUACCAGGGGGAAGUCCUCUUCUCCUCAAGGUGUAGAGUGUCAUACUCACCUGAGAGGGGUGAAGGGGCGUGGUUAAUGUGAAAUCUCCAUUAAUCGCAGAAAUUCCUCAGCUCUCUGGUGGAAUGAGGACCGUAGCAUUUGCAUUAUGUUUCUGGAAGAGGAUAUAGAGAGCUGUCUUUCUGAAUCAGAGUGCUACCAACUGAAUUGUGGCUGGCGUUUAUUACACCCACUACUACCCAGCGUUAAUUUAAUAUAUGGGCUGGAGCUCCACGAGCAAGACAACAUGAAUACAGAAUAACAACACACACAAAAUGCUGGUGGAACACAGCAGGCCAGGCAGCAUCUAUAGGGAGAAGCGCUGUCGACGUUUCGGGCCGAGACCCUUCGUCAUGAAUACAGAAUACUAGCCAAACCUUUGGAGCUCUCUCCCACUAUUGAGAUGAUUCCUCAGAUCAAGCCAGCUUACUUGUCAUGAUGAGCGUUGACAGGCAAGGAAGAAUGGAAGACUCCCAUGUACAGAUGGAAACAAGAGGUUAUACUUAUAAAUUUCAACAGGACAUCAGUGACAUGACCGAAUGACACUGAAGGACAAAUCAUUCUCAACACAGGCACCCCACAAUGAGCAUAAAAAGGGGGUCCACAUUUAAUAAUCAUAGAGAGCGGAAAGCCCGUGCCAGUCAGAAUUAACUUGACAAGAUUAAACAGAAAGCACAAGGGUUUAACGACUCUCAUUAAGAUGACAAUUAGUGAAUACGGGUCUUCGAGAAACUUUGAGCCCUAACGCUAUGGCUCACCGCAAUGGCCCUGAAGGCUCAUGACAAUGGCUGAGCAGCAAGGAAUGAAAAGAGCAGUUCAAUAGGCAGAGACCAGGUAAGAGAGAUCACAAUUGUCCUUGUAGCUUUCUUGCUGAUACAAGUUGAGCCUCACCCUGGCCAGCAGUGAGAAGGCACAGAGAGCCAGGAUGUCAAAUGUCCUAUUGGGUCCUAUUGAAGCAUCAGUUUUGGGAAUGCAGUUAUCUGAAAGCAGCAAAGCAACAACAAUAAAAAAAAUCCUUUUUCACCUGAAGCAACUUAGGCAAGAAUAUUAUUGAAACAGGCUACACACCGGAUGUAAUUUGUUUAUGCAUACAAGUGACCAUGAGCUUAUUUUGUAACCAAGGCUCUUCCAUUCUCCAGACACGCAUCACUCUCUCACCCUUCCUCUCCACUUGAUUUGUGAGUAUCGUGGAUUCAGAAGUUCAGAAUCCUUUGGAAAUCUUGUCAAUAAUUGAGUACAUUGUUACUUUAAAAACUCUGCACAAUUCUACUAAAGAAAAUAAUAAUAUACUCAAGCGAUUGAUUUAAUCUACAUUAUUUCAGUUUUGUUCAAUUCCUAAGAUAUAUUGUUCAGAUUCCAUAAGCCCAUGAGACAUUGGAGCAGAAAUAAACUAUUUGGCCCAUUGUCUUCUCCACCAUUCUGUCAUGUUUGGUUUAUUAUAUAACUUCACAAUAUAAACUGCUUUAAUAAUAGAAACUUGCAUUUAUAUGGCACCUUCCUAUUCCUAUCUGCGCAGAGCAUCCCAAGUGCUUUCCAGACAUUGAAGUACUUUGAAAGGUGUACAAGAUGAUAGGAGGGUUAUCAAGUGGAUAGCUAGAGUGGAAAUGGCUAAUAUGAGGGGGCAUAAUUUUAAAGUGAUUGGAGGAAAGUUUCUGGGGAGUGUCAGAUGUACGCUUUUUAUGCAGAAAGUGGUGGGUGCGCAGAAUACCCUGCCGGGGUGGUGGGGUGGAGGCAGAUACAUUAAGGACUUUAAGAAACUCUUAGAUAGGCACAUGGAUGAUAGGAAAAUGGAGGGUUAUGUGGGAUGGAAGGGUUAGAUUGAUCUCAGAAUUGGUUAAAAGGCCGUAUCAACUUCAUGGGCUGAAGGGACAGUACUGUGGUGUAAUGUUCUAUGAAAGUGCAACAACAAUUGUAAUGAAGGGAGCACCUCACAUGAACUCCCACAGCCCAGGCUUAGAUUUAUUGACAUGAUGGUGUUGACUUUCUUAAUAGUUGUUGGAGCUGCACUUACCCAGAAUCAAUCCCUUGAAAGUCUUGGCCGUCUUUUAAACAGUUCUAAAUGUGUCACUCUUUAUCAGGUGAAAUGUUUGCAGGACAAAGCCAGUCAAGGACGAGCAGCAAGGUCGAGUGAGGAGUUUCGAGUAGGAAGAUUGCAUGAUGACAAAUCAGGGCAGGCUCUUUUGAAGACUCUGACCUGGAGUUACAUGCUGACUUUGGUUCUUUGCGGAAAUGGGACCCACUCUCAGGGCCUCACCACUGGCCGUUUUCCAAUAUGACAAGGAUGCGGCCCGGAAGAUUAGCAUGGUUUCAGGGUGCCGGAUUUUCAUGGAUCUGGAGGCGGGUGGAUUCAAGGCUGGUGCCGCCACCUGGUGUGUCGUGGGAGUACAUGCAAUAUCGUAACCGGUGAGCUGGCUGCUGGCUGUGUGCCCAGAGACCCGAGUUCUUUGGGCACAGAGCUCGUAAAAAGAAAAACAACAGACUUUUAACACCAUAAAUCAGCAAAUUGCUUUGUUAUGUCUCUCCUCUCGCUGUGAAACAGGGACACCUCUUUUUCCCUUAUUAGGGAGGAAGAGAGCCUGUGGGAUGUUGAAUACCAGGUGAACAAGUAGUUUUUCAGGGUACUGCAAGUCUGUUUCUUUAUUGAUGCUUUGCUGCAUGCU